UACGUAGGGUGCAAGCGUUGUCCGGAAUUACUGGGCGUAAAGCGUGCGCAGGCGGCUAUGCAAGACAGAUGUGAAAUCCCCGGGCUCAACCUGGGAACUGCAUUUGUGACUGCAUGGCUAGAGUACGGUAGAGGGGGGAUGGAAUUCCGCGUGUAGCAGUGAAAUGCGUAGAUAUGCGGAGGAACACCGAUGGCGAAGGCAAUCCCCUGGACCUGUACUGACGCUCAUGCACGAAAGCGUGGGGAGCAAACAGG
This 254-nucleotide ribosomal RNA is filed under the name uncultured bacterium. RNAcentral's name for it is "partial 16S ribosomal RNA". It matches the Rfam family "Bacterial small subunit ribosomal RNA", at positions 524 to 776 of the family's 1533-position model. The record is from RNAcentral.